AAUGAACGCUGGCGGCGUGCCUAACACAUGCAAGUCGAAUGUGCCGCAAGGUGCAUGGCAGACGGGUGAGUAACGCGUGGGCAAUCUACCUUUUCGUGGGGAAUAACGAUCCGAAAGGAUUGGUAAUACCGCAUGAGACCAAUGGCUGGGAUGCUGUUGGUGAAACCUGGGGACCGCAAGGCCUGGGGCGAAAAGAGGAGCCUGCGUCUGAUUAGCUAGUUGGCGGGGUAACGGCCCACCAAGGCUUCGAUCAGUAGCCGGCCUGAGAGGGUGAUCGGCCACACUGGAACUGAGACACGGUCCAGACUCCUACGGGAGGCAGCAGUGGGGAAUUUUGCGCAAUGGACGAAAGUCUGACGCAGCAACGCCGCGUGGGUGAUGAAGGUCUUCGGAUUGUAAAACCCUGUCGUCGAGGACGAAGGUCGGAGUGUUAAUAGCGCUUUGGCUUGACGGUACUCGGAGAGGAAGCCCCGGCUAACUCUGUGCCAGCA
Molecule: ribosomal RNA, 491 nt
Filed under: uncultured bacterium
Lineage: Bacteria
Description: bacterial SSU rRNA
Rfam family: Bacterial small subunit ribosomal RNA
Source: RNAcentral